RNAcentral lists this ribosomal RNA (218 nucleotides) under uncultured bacterium. Its description in RNAcentral is "partial 16S ribosomal RNA". It matches the Rfam family "Bacterial small subunit ribosomal RNA", at positions 1285 to 1500 of the family's 1533-position model. The record is from RNAcentral.
GUCUCAGUUCGGAUUGUAGGCUGAAACUCGCCUACAUGAAGCUGGAGUUGCUAGUAAUCGCGAAUCAGCAUGUCGCGGUGAAUACGUUCCCGGGCCUUGUACACACCGCCCGUCACACCAUGAGAGUUGGCAAUACCCAACGUACGUGAUCUAACCCGCAAGGGAGGAAGCGUCCUAAGGUAGGGUCAGCGAUUGGGUGGAAGUCGUAACAAGGUACC